CCCGCUGAACUUAAGCAUAUCAAUAAGCGGAGGAAAAGAAACCAACAAGGAUUGCCUCAGUAACGGCGAGUGAAGCGGCAACAGCUCAAAUUUGAAAUCUGGCUCUUUCAGAGUCCGAGUUGUAAUUUGCAGAGGAUGCUUCGGCUUUGGCGUCAUCCAAAGUUCCUUGGAACAGGAUGUCAUAGAGGGUGAGAGCCCCGUGUCCGGGUGGAUGCCUUUGCCAUGUGAAGCUCCUUCGACGAGUCGAGUUGUUUGGGAAUGCAGCUCAAAACGGGAGGUAAAUUUCUUCCAAAGCUAAAUACCGGCUGGAGACCGAUAGUGCACAAGUAGAGUGAUCGAAAGAUGAAAAGCACUUUGGAAAGAGAGUUAAACAGCGCGUGAAAUUGUUGAAAGGGAAGCGCUUGCUGCCAGACUCGCCCGUCGUUGCUCGGCGGGGCCUCGUGCCCCGUUUACUCUUCGGCGGGUGGGCCAGCAUCGACUCGGGCGGCCGGACAAAGGUCGUGGGAAUGUGGCUCCCCCGGGAGUGUUAUAGCCCGCGGCGCAAUGCGGCCUGCCUGGGUCGAGGACUGCGCAUCUGCUCGGAUGCUGGCGUAAUGGCCGCAAGCGGCCCGUCUUGAAACACGG
This 624-nucleotide ribosomal RNA is filed under the name uncultured fungus. RNAcentral describes it as "eukaryotic LSU rRNA". It matches the Rfam family "Eukaryotic large subunit ribosomal RNA", at positions 24 to 664 of the family's 3401-position model. Lineage: Eukaryota; Fungi. The record is from RNAcentral.